GUGAAGAUCGCUAGUUCAGUGGCGAACGGGUGAGUAAAAGAUAGGAACAUGCUCUGAUGUCGGACAUAGCCCCGCGAAAGCGGGGGUAAUUUCCCAUGUGGUCGCAAGACCAAAGUCGCAAGACGCUUUAGAAGUGGCCUAUCUACUACCAGCUAGUUGGUGAGGUAACGGCUUACCAAGGCGAUGACGGUUACCGGCUCUCAGCGGAGAGUCCGGCACAAUGGGACUGAGACACGGCCCAUACACCUACGGGUGGCAGCAGUUAGGAAUCUUGCGCAAUGGACGAAAGUCUGACGCAGCGACACCGCGUGGAGGAUGACAGCCUUCGGGUUGUAAACUCCUUUUGGUCCGACAUGAAGUUGGACCGAAUAAGCAACUACUAACUACGUGCCAGCAGUCGCGGUAAUACGUAGGUUGCAAGCGUUACCCGGUUUUACUGGGCGUAAAGAGUCUGUAGGCGGUUUUUUAAGUCUUGUUUCAAAGACUCCGGCUCAACCGGAGGAAGGGGCAGGAUACUGAAAAACUAGAGUGAUAUCGGAGUUACUGGAAUUUGUAGUGUAGGGGUAGAAUCCGUGGAUACUACAAAGAACACCAAGCGCGAAGGCGGGUAACUAGGUAUUUACUGACGCUCAGAGACGAAAGCUAGGGGAGCAAAUCAGAUUAGAGACCUGAGUAGUCCUAGCUGUAAACAUUGUCCGUUAAUUCCUUGUAAUUUAUUAUGGGGGAUGUAAGCUAACGCGUUAAACGGACCGCCUGGGGAGUAUAGCCGCAAGGCCGAAACUCAAACGAAUUGGCGGGGAGGCGCACAACCAGUGGAGCAUGUGGUUCAAUUCGAUACGAAGCGAUGAACCUUACCUGGGUUUGAAAUGUAUCUGCAAGCCCGAUGAAAGUCGGGCCCCCCUUCGAGGGUGAUACACAGCUGUUGCAUGGCUGUCGUCAGCUCGUGACGUGAGUUGUUCUCUUAAGUGAGGUAACGAGCGCAACCCCCAUUCGGUGUUAUUGUGUCACCGAAGACUGCCCAGCAUUAUUUUGUUGGGAGGAAGGAGGGGACGACGUCAAGUCAUCAUGAUGCUUAUGUCCAGGGCUACACACAUCCUACAAUGGGCUUUUACAGAGGGUUGCAAGACCGCAGGGUGGAGCUAAUCCCUAAAAGAGCCCUCAGUUGGGAUUGCAGGCUGAAACCCGCCUGCAUGAACCCGGAAUUGGUAGUAAUCGCAAAUCAGCAGAUUGCGGUGAAUACGUUCUCGCCUCUUGCACACACUGCCCGUCAAAUCAGCAAAGUUGGGGGCACCUAAAGCUUGGCCUUUGGCCGAAUCAAGGUGAAUCCAGCGAUGAGGGUUAAGCCGUAACAAGGUAU
Molecule: ribosomal RNA, 1357 nt
Filed under: metagenome
Description: bacterial SSU rRNA
Rfam family: Bacterial small subunit ribosomal RNA
Source: RNAcentral